RNAcentral lists this ribosomal RNA (263 nucleotides) under uncultured bacterium. RNAcentral's name for it is "partial 16S ribosomal RNA". The record is from RNAcentral.
CUGCUGCCUCCCGUAGGAGUUUGGUCCGUGUCUCAGUACCAAUGUGGGGGGGUUGACCUCCCAGUCCCCCUAUGUAUCGUCGCCUUGGUGAGCCGUUACCUCACCAACUAGCUAAUACAACGCAUGUCCAUCUCUGACCACCUGAGUUUCAACCACCGAAGAUGCCUCCGGUGAUGUUAUGGGGUAUUAGUACCAAUUUCUCGAUGUUAUCCCCCUGUCAAAGGUAGUUACAUACGCGUUACGCACCGUCGCCGGUCGCCGGC